Molecule: unclassified non-coding RNA, 253 nt
Filed under: Patescibacteria group bacterium
Lineage: Bacteria
Description: contains 16S-23S intergenic spacer region
Rfam family: Bacterial small subunit ribosomal RNA
Source: RNAcentral
UACAGAGACCUCAAGCGUUAUCCGGAUUUACUGGGCGUAAAGCGUCCGCAGGUGGCUCGUUCAGUCGUUGGUCAAAUCUCAGGGCUCAACUCUGGGACUGCCCGCGAUACUGGCGAGCUAGAGGACGGGAGAGGCAUGCGGAAUUACUGGUGUAGGGGUAAAAUCCGUUUAUAUCAGUAAGAACACCAAAGGCGAAGGCAGCAUGCUGGAACGUUCCUGACACUCAUGGACGAAAGCGUGGGGAGCGAAAAGG